AACGAACGCUGGCGGCAGGCCUAACACAUGCAAGUCGAACGCCCUAGCAAUAGGGAGUGGCAGACGGGUGAGUAACACGUGGGAACGUGCCCUUCGGUUCGGAAUAACUCAGGGAAACUUGAGCUAAUACCGGAUACGUGCGAGAGCAGAAAGAUUUAUCGCCGAAGGAUCGGCCCGCGUCCGAUUAGCUAGUUGGUGAGGUAAUGGCUCACCAAGGCGACGAUCGGUAGCUGGUCUGAGAGGAUGACCAGCCACACUGGGACUGAGACACGGCCCAGACUCCUACGGGAAGCAGCAGUGGGGAAUAUUGGACAAUGGGCGCAAGCCUGAUCCAGCCAUGCCGCGUGAGUGAUUAAGGCCCUAGGGUUGUAAAGCUCUUUCGCCAGGGACGAUAAUGACGGUACCUGGAUAAGAAGCCCCGGCUAACUUCGUGCCAGCCGCCGCAGUAA
This 449-nucleotide ribosomal RNA is filed under the name uncultured bacterium. RNAcentral describes it as "partial 16S ribosomal RNA". It matches the Rfam family "Bacterial small subunit ribosomal RNA", at positions 29 to 523 of the family's 1533-position model. The record is from RNAcentral.